UCGAAAAACCUCCCCAAGCAAAACUUAGCGACUCUAAACUAUAAUAGACCUGUAAUACGUAACUAAAACAAUUGGUCCUUAGGCCUAUAUUGAAGUAUAUUGACUGUCUACUUACGAAUCUACUGGGAUAUUCAUAGAUCUAGCUAGCUUUUUGAAAAUAUAAACAGGUGAAAACUAUCAAGAAGACGAUCAGAUGACAAUCCAAUUUGUCAUGAUGUGAUGACAUAGACAUAGGGAAAUAUCAAUGCUAGCAGCUAGUCACUGAUAGGUACAGUAAAUUCCUACACAUCAGAAUGGAAUAAUCUUUGUGCUCAAAUAUGGCAUGCUCUGUCUGAGUACAUUCACAACCUAUAAAAGACAAGAGGAAAUAAAGGUCGAUAAAACUAAGGUGUCCAAAUUGAAAAGUUUCGAGUUUGAACCCCGGGAACAGCAACCCAUAUAAAAGUGAAAACAACAAAAUCAAACAAUUUCCGCCUUGUAGUAAUUCCUUUGAUGAACAAAGCAGAUCUAUAAAGAAAAGCAAACUGAAAUCGGAGUUACUAGGCAGUAUAAUAUGGCGCUUAACAUGUUGAAACACAAUACUUAAUUGUGUUGUAGAACAUCCCCUCUAGCACAAAA
This is a long non-coding RNA of Physella acuta, 618 nucleotides long. RefSeq lists it as uncharacterized. The record is from RefSeq and is a predicted model, not a curated record. NCBI's taxonomy places the organism in Eukaryota, Metazoa, Mollusca, Gastropoda, Physidae.